This 253-nucleotide ribosomal RNA is filed under the name uncultured bacterium. RNAcentral's name for it is "partial 16S ribosomal RNA". It matches the Rfam family "Bacterial small subunit ribosomal RNA", at positions 524 to 776 of the family's 1533-position model. The record is from RNAcentral.
UACGGAGGGAGCUAGCGUUGUUCGGAAUUACUGGGCGUAAAGCGCACGUAGGCGGCUUUGUAAGUUAGAGGUGAAAGCCCGGGGCUCAACUCCGGAACUGCCUUUAAGACUGCAUCGCUUGAAUCCGGGAGAGGUGAGUGGAAUUCCGAGUGUAGAGGUGAAAUUCGUAGAUAUUCGGAAGAACACCAGUGGCGAAGGCGGCUCACUGGACCGGUAUUGACGCUGAGGAGCGAAAGCCAGGGGAGCAAACGGG